AUGAAAAUUUUGAGUUGGAACUGUCGAGGCUUCGGACAGCCUCGCACAGUCCAAGAACUUGUGUGUCUCUCUAAGACACACCGACCCAAUGUUAUAUUUCUUUCUAAAACUACACAAAAUUAAGAGCAUGUUAAGAGUUUGCGCUACUGGUUGGGAAUGGAAAAUGUUUUUUCCAUUACCGUUCAAGGCAAAGGGUAUAGGCUGGCUGUGUUUUGGGAUGAACAUUUCUCUCGAACUAAAUAA
Molecule: ribosomal RNA, 243 nt
Filed under: Triticum aestivum (bread wheat)
Lineage: Eukaryota; Viridiplantae; Streptophyta; Magnoliopsida; Poales; Poaceae
Description: partial small subunit ribosomal RNA
Source: RNAcentral